GUGCGAUUAGCUCAGCUGGAUAGAGCGUCUGACUACGGAUCAGAAGGCCGGGAGUUCGAAUCUUCUAUCGCACGUCA
RNAcentral lists this transfer RNA (77 nucleotides) under [Ruminococcus] lactaris. Its description in RNAcentral is "Ruminococcus lactaris tRNA-Arg". It matches the Rfam family "tRNA". Rfam says of the family: Transfer RNA (tRNA) molecules are approximately 80 nucleotides in length. Their secondary structure includes four short double-helical elements and three loops (D, anti-codon, and T loops). RNAcentral also lists the same sequence under 1 other name. The record is from RNAcentral. Lineage: Bacteria; Bacillati; Bacillota; Clostridia; Lachnospirales; Lachnospiraceae.